UACGUAGGGUGCAAGCGUUGCCCGGAUUUAUUGGGCGUAAAGGGCGCGUAGGCGGCUCGGUAAGGUUGCGGUGAAAGCCCGGGGCUCAACCCCGGGUCGGCCGUGGCAACUGCUGAGCUAGAGCACUGUAGAGGCAGGUGGAAUUCCGGGUGUAGCGGUGGAAUGCGUAGAGAUCCGGAAGAACACCGGUGGCGAAGGCGGCCUGCUGGGCAGUGGCUGACGCUGAUGCGCGACAGCGUGGGGAGCAAACAGG
Molecule: ribosomal RNA, 253 nt
Filed under: uncultured bacterium
Lineage: Bacteria
Description: partial 16S ribosomal RNA
Rfam family: Bacterial small subunit ribosomal RNA
Source: RNAcentral